CCUACGGGAGACAGCAGUGAGGAAUAUUGGUCAAUGGACGAGAGUCUGAACCAGCCAAGUAGCGUGAAGGAUGACUGCCCUAUGGGUUGUAAACUUCUUUUAUAUGGGAAUAAAAUGUUCCACGUGUGGGAUUUGGUAUGUAACAUAUGAAUAAGGAUCGGCUAACUCCGUGCCAGCAGCCGCGGUAAUACGGAGGAUCCGAGCGUUAUCCGGAUUUAUUGGGUUUAAAGGGAGCGUAGGUGGAUUGUUAAGUCAGUUGUGAAAGUUUGCGGCUCAACCGUAAAAUUGCAGUUGAAACUGGCAGUCUUGAGUACAGUAGAGGUGGGCGGAAUUCGUGGUGUAGCGGUGAAAUGCUUAGAUAUCACGAAGAACUCCGAUUGCGAAGGCAGCUCACUGGACUGCAACUGACACUGAGGCUCGAAAGUGUGGGUAUCAAACAGGAUUAGAUACCCCUGUAGUC
RNAcentral lists this ribosomal RNA (460 nucleotides) under uncultured bacterium. RNAcentral describes it as "partial 16S ribosomal RNA". It matches the Rfam family "Bacterial small subunit ribosomal RNA", at positions 338 to 795 of the family's 1533-position model. The record is from RNAcentral.